RNAcentral lists this long non-coding RNA (19625 nucleotides) under Solanum tuberosum (potato). RNAcentral's name for it is "long non-coding RNA (STUB_LNC001194)". The record is from RNAcentral. Lineage: Eukaryota; Viridiplantae; Streptophyta; Magnoliopsida; Solanales; Solanaceae.
UUCUAAUCAAGCAAGUGUUUUUGUUAACUUACGCGUUUAUGUUCAGAGGCUAUGUCACGGAUCAAUGUAGUGAUAAUGCAUUUACGUGCUCGUGAACCUGAGAAUGAACUUGCAUAUGAUAAUGCUGUUUCUACCCUUGGUAAAAUAUUUCAGUUUCAUCGAGAACUUAUCGACUCAGCCCAGGUUUGUCCUUCUCAGAAUCCCUAAUGUUAAGUCUUGUUAUAAUUUCUGAUUCUGAAUCCUUGUGUAGGUCAUUCCCAUUUGGUUGAAUUGCCUGCCUAUAAAAGGUGACCUUGCUGAAGCCAAAUAUGUUCAUGGUCAACUAUGUUCCAUGGUUGAAAGGUAUUGGAUUUGUUUGGAAACUCUAAUAUGUUAUAACUUUCAUAAAAUGCAGGAUUAUUUUAUCCAACGUUUUGUUGGAAAUAUUAUAUUAUCAUAAGACUAUUUAUUCCACCAUUUAUACCUUAAAAUGUGAUAAGUUAUUUCAUCCCGAAAUAGUUGAUGUCAGGAUAACUUAUUCCGAACCAAACCAUCCCUUAAUGAUUUAUCAAAUUUUCUCAAUUGCAGGUCAGAUAGAGAACUUUUGGGUACCAAUUAUGAACACUUCCCAAAAAUUAUGUCAGUUUUUGCAGAGGUUAGUUCCAUAUCAGAAUCUAUAGAUGCCAGUUUGAGUUGUUUAUUUGCUCAUGUUACAUAUUAAAUGAGAUAAAUAUUGAAAACAUAAUUAUUAAUUUCAUAAUCAAACUAUUAACAAUCUUAAAAACACUCAUUUCUUUGACUAACUAAACUUAAAUACACUCCCGAUCUUGCAACAUGACCAAAAUACAUCCCUAAUUUAAGGGUGCUUUCAACACUCCUCUAUGUAAUGUGGCAGAUCAGAGAUGUAUUUAAGUUUAAUCUGGUCAAGUAGAUAUGUGUUUUUAAGACUAUCAAUAAUUCAAGAACGAAACGAACAAUUUGUGUCAAGUUUAAGAGUGUUUUUGAAUCAAACUAAAGACAUUUUUUAUUCCAUUUUUAAGGUUAUAUGUGGUGGAAAACAUCUUGCUACAGAAGAAACAACAAAGUGUAUGAUUAAUCUGUUGAGGAAUCUUCUUAAAGAACUACCACCAGACACUUUGACAUCAGCAUGGUCAUUGAUAUUGCCUCAGCAAGAAAUGGAACUAAAAGCCAUUUUAUUUCCUGGAAUACUUCAUGUGGUACGUUUUCACAACAAAACAUUUUGUAUGCUUGACACUGAUACCAAUGAAAGCUCUCCCCCUUACUCUUUACCAUCCAAAAUUGUCAAACUUCUUGAGGAAGAACACCAGAAAAAUAGUAUUAUUGUUCCACAAAUGUAACUUAUAAACCAUAAAUUGUAUCUUUAAUUAAGUUUUGUAUCAUUUAAGUAUACAAGAUGAUACUAUAGUUGAUUUGUGGGGAAUUGAAUAUGUAAUUAUCAUUAAACUAUCUAUUUUAUAUCUUUUUUACGAUUUAUCUAUCCAUUUGGAAUUUCUUUAUUUUUAAUUUUUCAUAAGUUGAAAUUCAUAUUGUGGCAUAUAAUUUAAAUAAUUAUUUAUUCAAAUUAAACAAGUCAAACCUUAAGGACCUAAAAUCUAAACCUGACGGCAUAAACCAUAAACCUUGAGGGGUCGUUUGGUGUGAAAGAUAACUUUAAAUAGUCCUGCGAUUAAAUUAUAAUGUCACUAAAUUUGUUGUUUGAUUGGCAAUUUGGUGAUAAGUUAUCUCGUGAUUAAUAAUUAAUACAAGGAUAAAUUAUCCCUUCCCUUGGGUGGUACAAUAAUCCCGAGAAAACUUAUCACGAGAUAAAAUGACUAAAUGACAAAAAUAUCCCUUCAAACACUUUUUAUACAUUACUUUUCAUAUUCAUGAACGGUAUUUUUCUAAGCAUCAUAACUUGAAUUCAAACCAAACGACUGCACCUUAGAGCCCAAAAAAUAAACUCAAAAUCAUAAACUCUAAACCUUAAACCUUAGGCCUCAACCUUAAAAUCUAAACCAUAAACCCAAAACUCAAAAGCUUGGGGCCUAAAACCUAAGAUCUACGAUUUAUGGUUUAGGAUUUAGGAUUUAGACUCUAAAAUUUAUAUUCUAGGGGUUGUAGUUUAUCGUUUUGACUAUAAGAUUUAGGAUUUAAGAUUUAUAAUUUUAAGAGUUUAGGCCUUAUGGUUAAGUGUUUAGAGAUAAGAUUUAUAAUUCAUGUAUAAAUUAAAAUAUAGGGUUUAGGCCCAAGGUUCAUAUGGUUUUAUGAUUUAUCAAAAGCCAAUUUGAGGUCAAUUUUUAAGCACAAUUGAACCAAACCCAUUUGAACCCAAAAUAAAUUUGAACGGAUUGAUCAACUUCGUGUAUUUUUUUCUACACUUUUGACUCUUCAUCACCUUUCUACAAUUACAAUUGUUUCACAAAUCCUUUUUUUAAAAUCUUUCAAACAUAAUUAUAAAAAAUAUCUUAGUAAAUCCAUUCUAUUUCCUAAUCCCUUUCAUAAAACAAAUAAUCAAAAUAGCCUCAGAAGGAAGGCAGUAGUAUAGUCAUAAUCAUUAUUUUGACCAUUAACGCAAAACUACUCAUCAUCGGACAAAAAAAUAAUAAAUUAAAAGAAACAAAAAACAAUUAUUAUUGUAAUGCUUGAAAGUUUUGCAAUUUUCCUAAUUCAAAAUUAUUGACUAUCGAUUUUGAUAAUGUAUUUCCCAAAAUUGUUGUGUGAAAUACACGAGUAAAAUACAUCUGAACUCAAAAUUCAAAAUACAUUUCAAAACUCAAAAUUAAGAGUCAAAUUUGUGCAUAAAAUUUAGGACUUGAAAUCUAAACUCAAAAUUUGAAACCAUAUACCUUAGGGCAUAGAUCCUAAACCUUAAGAGCCUAAACUUUAAACAUUAUGUCCAAAAUUAUGAACCCUAAAUCUUGAACCUUAAAUCCCAAGUCAUAAACCCUAAAAUCUUAGAACUUAAACCCAAAACUCUAAACCUUAAAGCCUAAACCUUAAACCUUAAACCUUAAACCUUGAAAGCCUAAAUCUUAAUGUUUAGGAUUUAUGAUUUAUGGUUUUUGAUUUUAAAAUUUAAGAUUUAGAGUUCAGACAAUAUGGUUAAGAGUUUUAAGUUUUAUGAUAUAAGAUUUAGGCCUUAAAAUUUGAAGUUUAGAUUUUAACAAUUAGGCUCUAAAAACUUUAAGAUUAAAAAUACAGCAUUUGAACAUUAUAAUAAAUAAUUAUGUAGUACCCCAACGACCAAAUACACCACAAAAAUUAGAUGCAAAGGAUAGCGAGGGGAACAUUAUUAUAGCUUCACUUGCUAAAGUAUCACACUACAAAAAGUGAAAUCCACAAAAUAUAAUUAGCAAAAGCAUAGUACAAUUAACAACAUAUCCAAUAAAAUCACAGUAAAUUUAUGCAAAUCUUAUCAUUAUCUCGUAAAAAUAAAAAUAAAAUAUGAAAACUACUUAGUCCCUUAGAUGUUCAAUUAAUUGCGAUCAUCUUCGCAAAUCAUUACAGGUCUGUAACUGUAAAAAAUUAAUCAUCACUGUUGUUUCCAUUGAAUAAAAUAUAUAAAAAAAAUUUUGAUGAACAAACUCAGUCCCUUAGAUGUUCAAUUUGUUGCGAUCAUUUUCGCAUAUCAUUACAGGUCUGUAACUGUAAAAUAUUACUCAUCAUUGUUUAUUCAUCAAAAAAAUAUUCUGAAUUUUUUUUUUUUUAAAAAAAAGUUGUAGCUGCUCCAAUUGUUCUCCACAGAUUAAAUUAAAUGAGGAGAAAGAUGAAAAAGGAACAACACACUUAUAAUGCUUCAAGGGAACGAGUUGGUCAAAAAUAAAUUAUUUCUUGCCAACCAGAUUAAAGAAGCAUAUAACUCAAAAUAUAUACACAAAAAUAAUAAAUUUAUUUAGAGUUUAGAAGAUAUAUCACCAUUGUUGAAGAUUUCAAUCGGCAGCUGCAGAAGAGAGAAAUUGUUGUGUUUUGAAGUACACGCAAAACUCAAAAACAAGAAAAUUAUCCAUCUAGCUGGAUAUGAUUAUUAUGCAUAAUGAAUAAAGGAAACAGCUUAAGAGAAAAACUGGUCCGUUAGAUCUCCUCUUUCAAUCGCAAUCUUCUAUUUCUGCACAGCAAAGAAACACUUCUCAAAUAUAUUUUACGAAAGAUUUAACAGGUAAAAGUGUACAAGCUCAAAAUAUGAUGCAAUUAAUCUUGAGUCAGUUACCUGUUAAACCAGUGUUGCCGCUUUUUAUAUGCAAGGGGUAAAUAAGGACCUUGGGCUCUGCAUUUCCAUAUCCUUCUUGCACUUCUUUAAAGUCCUUAACUGAUUUUUCAAGAGACUCACCACAUCGUUUUACUUCAACCAUCUUUAGAUAAUGCAUAUGUCCAACCAUGGAAGGAAUUUCUCGAAGAUUAAAGCAGUUUUCUAUAAGAAUGUGUUCGAGGUUGGGAAAGGACUCAUCUGAUGCAUUCCAUGUUGUUAUUGUAAGGGAUCUUAAUUUAAGAACCUUGAGGUUCAGAAACUCUUCAUCUUCGAUCUCCCAUUUGUCCUGCUGAAAUACUCUAUGUUCCAACUUCAGAACCACUAAAUUUGGUAAUCUUCCGAUAUUAGACAGUUCACUUUGUGGCAACAAAACAUCUGAUAGAGUUAGCUUUGUUAGUGUCGCGGGCAAGGUGAAAUUCAAAAUCAUACCGUUUACACUGAGUGUUUCAAGUUGAAGAGCAUUUAAUUUGAGUUUGAGAGGCUCUUUACAGUGGCAUUUGAGUUUUCGCAGUCUGCUUUCUGUUUUAUUUAAGAAAUACUCCCUCCGUCCCAUUUUAUAUGAUGUACUUUGAUACCGUUUACACUGAGUGUUUCAAGUUGAAGAGCAUUUAAUUUGAGUUUGAGAGGCUCUUUACAGUGGCAUUUGAGUUUUCGCAGUCUGCUUUUCUGUUUUAUUUAAGAAAUACUCCCUCCGUCCCAUUUUAUAUGAUGUACUUUGAUUUGGCACAAACUUUAAGAAAAAUGGAAAGACUUUUAAAACUUGUGGUCCAAAAUGAAUGAUAGAAAUUUGUGUGGUUGUAAAUCAUUUCAUUAAGGGUAAAAAAGACAUUUUAUAGGCAAAUUGUUACUUAAAAUAGAAAUGUGUCAUUCUUUUUGGGACUGACUAAAAAGGAAAGUAAGUCAUAUAAAUUGGGACAGAGGGAGUAUUAUUUAAGACUGGUUUAAGAGUCGCCACUUAAUUUUUAAGAAAAAUCAAGAAAAACUGAUUUUCAAUAGAUUAAAACAGUGAAUCAAUUGAAAAUACUAAAGGGGGUUCGGGGGUUCUUAUAAAUAUUCUAGGAAGGUUUUUAAGGCACCUAGAAUAUCCACUAAUGUGGUUAUCCGACGAUUAACUACUUGGCUAAAAUAAUUGAACUUAAUUUGAUUUGAGCAAUUUUUAUUGUUAGAACCAUAUUAAAGGGAAAUACUUAAAUAUUAUCUAAGUGAGCUAAUUUUUAAAACUUAUUCUUUAAGUCUUGUUGAGUGAUGACUGAUUCAGUUAAAUUGUUAAAUCAAAAUAGGCGUCUUUCGGGGAUUUGAAUUUUUCAACCUUAAGGUUAGCGACAAAUAUUAACAAGCACACAAAUAUAAUAAAAUAAAGAGGGAAAGAGAUUUGGGCCCAAGUUUGGUUUUACUGUCCGCCUGGACCAAUACUUGGGCCCACUUUCGUUUUGGGGUUUUCGGCCCAUUUAAAUAAUCGGUACCUGUCCUAGUCUAACAAGAUAAUAACAAGGGCUUAGGCCCCCAAAAUAACAAAAAUACAAUUCCCGAAACUAAGAGUGGGCCUUUGGGUCCAUUUUCCUUCUUUCGUAUACACUAGAUGUCUACUAGUGUACACAAUCCCAUAUGUCUGCUUCGAAGACCUGUACGCUGAAUUCAUGGAAUUGCUCUUCAAUUCUAUUGGCUGGCCGACUCAAUGAAGGAUUUGAGCAUUUAUGGCUCUCUCGAAGUGAGGGGGAAGGAGAUAGGAGUUCAUAGUGAACUCGGACAUAUUUCACAAGCAAAACGAUAAAUAAGUAACAAAAUUAGCAUCUUCGGGAAGGAAAUGAAGUGAUAAGAUAAAAUAAAUAGAUAAGUAAAAUAACAUGCCAGUCAAUCAUUAACAACACAACGCCUAAACAAUAAUUUAAAAGGAAGACUGAUGAAGACUUGUUCAUUUUUACGUAUCAUGAAUGAGGAGCAGUGAUCAAGUACCAAGCAUUAGAACAAAGGUCAUAUGAGAUGUAAACUAAUAAGCUCUUAAUAAAGAUUAUUACUUAUUACAAGAUUAAAAUAACUACUAUGCAGGUUCAAAACAGAGAAGAAAGAAAUUUUAAUUAUAUAUAUAAUAUAAAAGAGAUAGUGAGCAAAUGUGGCAUCUACUAAAUGUGACUAUUGAAUGUUUAUCUCAAAGCACAAGAAUUGUUAGCUAAGCAAGCCUACAAUCAGUAGUUUAAGUAAAAGGAAAGAAACAUUCAAGUCACCUUUUGAACUUUUAAAAACAAUAUUAUAAACAAGUUAAGGUAGGUAGGAUUUAGUCAAAAUAUUAUUUUUUACAUAAGUGAGCUUUCUAAACAAAUAUAACAAUAAAAAAAAAAUUAGUCAAUGACUCAAAUUUUGCACAAGGGUAUAGCCUAAUACCGACAUUAUUUGGACAACUUUCUUAUUACUGAUUCUAACAUUUACGACACCGAAUUAAGCUAUGUAGAGAAGAAAAAAGGCCGGUGAUCACCAAAGCAAGUAAAAAUAUAUAGCAUCCUUAGCAACUGUUGAGACAUGCUGAAAUUAAAGAAGAAUAAAAGCCAAAAGUAUGGAUGUACAUUCACAGUUUUAUGUAUUCCCAAACUUAUCGAAAUUUGUUAAAAAUAUACAUGAGGCUCACGGAGAUAUCAAAUAGCAAAGUGGGCUGAUCCAUUUAUCCUAAAUGAGUAAACAUACAAAAUGAAUGAACAAAUACGGACUAUGACAUAUUUUACGCAUCCCGUAACCAAGAAAAAGUAGCACGAACUUACUUAAGGCAUGUCAAACUAAUCAAGAUCAAAAUUGUAUACCAUUUGGAACCAAACAACAAAAACAAUUCCCAUAAUUCUGGAAAAAUAAAAAAAAACACAUUCAAACUAGACCUGGACAACAUCUAAAUAAUUAGAGACAAAAUCAGAUAAACAAAAAUGAAAGAAUUAAUCAUACCACAAGACAACCAUAACAAAGUUUAAGCUAUACUAAUCCGGACAAGACUAUUGAUCUAAACUCAAAAAUAAGUGCAGGAAGAGCUAGAUCCUACAAGACUGGUCUAAUGUAAUUUAUGAGGGUCUAUAACAGUGAAUAAAAAAUAAAGAGAAGACAACCAAGACCACAAAUGACCAAUAGAGAAGCAGAACGAGUCAAAAAUUAAGCUACAAAGGGAAUAAUUUAAAGACUCAUAUUUAAACUAACACAUGCUUCCAUACAUGAGUAAUUUAAUCAAAAUAAGUUAGAACAAAAUGAAACCAAAGAAACUCCGCAGCAACAAGUUUAUCACACAACAUUUAAAACAUAAACAAAGCGCGGAAGAGGGAAGAGAUAUUACCUUUUCCGGGCAGCGAAACUGAGACAAGAACGAGCUUGGAGCGACUUCAACACAACCUUGAACUCGAGCACCAGACCAAAGAAAAGAUCGAGUCGACCUCGAACGAGAACUUCUCGUAUCCUUAAGACUAGGGAACCGUCUAAGACUUCUCAAGUGUAAAUUUAUUCCAAGAAAUCCAACCCCCAAAUCCCUUCCUUUUUUUUUUUUUUUAACAUAUGAAAAAAGAGCCACCUUUAUAGGUAAAAACUCCAGCAGAAAAUGGGGGGAAACGGAUGAAAAAAACGGGCAGAGAUCCCCCAUCCCCAAUUCAAACUUCAAAAUUUAUUCACAAACUUAGAGAGACAACAUUUUUUCAAAAUUUCGCCCCAUUCCCAAAGAGGAAAAAGGGAGAAACGCGUGCUGCUGCGACAUUAAUGUGGAUAGGGACGUCUGAAGAAGAAGCCAAAUCUGUAGUGUACGUCUCUCUGCUCCUCGCUACUUUUCGUCUGAUCGCUCUGUAUUUUUUGUUAUGAACGUUGGGGCUGCUGGGUUUGUAUUGUGAAGGAAAAGGGGAGGUGGGCCGGGUUAAAGGGGGGAAUUGUGGGUUGAGGCGGUAGGGUGAGAAAUAAAAGAAAGGAAAAGGGAAUUGGGGAAAUUACGGUCGGUCAGGUAUUGUUGUUGUUGUCAAGUUGUAUUGUAUGUAGUGUUACAUGUGGGUGGGUUUUGGUAUUAAAUUUGGGCUGGGAAUUAUGGAAUUGCUGAUGGGUUUAAAGAAGGGAUGGAUUGUUGGUAUUAUAUUCUGGGAAUGGGUAUUUGGAAUCAGAUAAAUACAAUGGGUUAUGGGAGUUGGCAAAAUGGCCUGAUUUGGUCUAAAAGAAAAGAGUUCUAUCGGAUUUAACAAUUAGCCAACUUUGAUAAACUAGUGAAUUCGACUAAAAAUUAAAUAAGACGAAUUAAUAUAAUUAACUAACGAGCUUCUUAAUCUUAACGAAAUAAAAUAAUCAACUUAAUUAUUAGUCAAUUUGAAUAACUCAAAAUUAUGACUAUAAAUACUACCAAACUAUAUUAAUAAAAUAUUCAUUUUAACAAAGUAGAAAUCUUUUGAAUAUGAUUUUUAAAUAUUAUAAAAUGUACUAAUCAUAUAUGUAAUUAUAUGAAAUAUAUUUAUCAUUCAAAAUGCUAUAAAAGUCGAUUGAAAUUAUUCAACUAACCUUGAAAUUAUUUAAAUUUUGUAAAGCUAAUUAUUCUAAAUCAUUUAGAAUUUAAGAAGCUCGAUGAUUAAUUUAUAUUGUGGAGGUCCAAAAAUUGGGUGUCAACACUUGCCUUCUUGACCAUGUAGUCUACUAGCUCAUUAGUGAGAGACACUGUGGCCAAGGUCUCGAUGCAACAUAUGUUUGUCGAUGUCUGAGGAAUGCGUCCAUCAAAAGAUGCAACAGGUUCAACAUGUACAUGCUUUAGCCUUGGCAUAUUCCAGAUGGUCAUCGGUAAAAUUGUGCCACUGCCUACUGUUAUUACAAGCAAUACCUCUAGGUUUGAAAGGUUCGAUAUCCAUAAUGGCAUAGAUACCAUAUAGCCUUUGAUUCCUAAGUACUUCAAAUGGAUCAGCUCUUUUGAUCUCUGGAAUGAACUCUCCGACAUAGUACAUUCCAUUUGUAGUACUCUUAAUAGUUUAAAGUUCUCAAGAUCAAGAAAUUCCUGGCAGCCAGAUUUCGGGGGUCUGAAGAAUGCAGAUCGAACUUGCAUGUUUCCAAUCUUCCCUGCCCAAUAAAGGCUAUGAUGAAUGCAAAGCCUCCGGUGCUCAUAAAAGGAACUAGACAAAUCAGUCUUCCCGGUGCUUGUUAGUUGCAUAAACUUCUCUUCCUUAGACUUUGUCACGCAAAAAUCAUGUAACAUAUCAUGAAUGCGGCAUGUUCUGACUCCUCCAGUGGACUUUCUCUUGCUCACCAUUAUCAAGCUUCUACCGAUGAGAUCAUUCAGUAAAAUUUUUGCAUCGAGCCCUAUGUUUGGCACCAAUCCCUCGAUAGUCCAUAACCAUGCCAAGUUUGAGAGUGGAAUUUCUUCAUCCUCCUGAAAUGAUGCAAAAUAUAGAAAGCAGGGUUUGAGAUGAUCUGGCAUGUGCUUGUAGCUCAGUUCUAUAACCUCCAUGCACUCUUUUGCACUAGUAACAGUAUCUAACUUUAUACUUUCUGCGAUUCUUCUCCAACUUUCCUCAUUUUCGCUUAUCCCAGACAAAACUCCAGCAACCAAAAUCACAAGGAGAGGUAGUCCUUUACACUUACUUGCGAUGUUUGCUCCUACUUUUGAUAGGUCAGGCGGGCAAGUUUGUUCCUUGAACAGCUUGAUUCUCAUUAGUUCCCAACUUUCAUUUUCGUCAAGGAAACGAAGGUGAAGAGGUGCUCUAUCAGGUUUAAUUUUUGAAGCCACAUCGCUGAGUCUGCUAGUUAAUAAAAUCCUGCUUCCGUUAUUAUCAUCCGGUAAGCAUCUUCUCAAGUAUUUCCAUGUCUCAACACUCCAUAUGUCAUCAAUGUAGAGAAGGUACUUCUUUCUUAACAGAAAUUUCCGCAAAGCAUCUUCUGGAUUUUUCUCAUUCUGUUGGUUAGAGCCUUUGACUUGAUUCAAAAUUCCGAGCGGCAACUUUCUUCUGUCAUAAGUUUGGGAAACACAACACAUAGCUUGGAUGUCAAAAUGACGCUGCAUUUUCUCAUCAUGAAAAACUUUCUUUGCUAGUGUAGUUUUUCCAAGACCAGGCAUCCCUACGAUAGACACAACAUCCAAGUUCUUUGGUCCUAUAGUGAGCUGUUCGAUUAGCAAGUCAGUCUCAUCCUUAAAACCCACCAUUACCUCAUCAAGUUGUGUAGUCUCAACUACUUGUCUGACAGGAUUUGGUGUUUGUUCUUCAAUAGGGCCUUCAACUUCUUGCGUAAUCGUAGCAUGGAACUCUUUCAAAUGAUCCCUUACAACCUUAGUUUCUGUUGUGAUCUUACAUAACAAAUGUAGAUACCAAACAGGAUAAUCUCCGGUAACCAGGCAAUCAAUUAUGCAUUCUGCCUGGUAUGCUAGAGAUAUGACUUCUGUCCAUAGAUCAUGUUUCUUCACCUCCUCAAACUCAUGUUUUUUCUUCUCAACUUCCUUCAAGAAGUAUCUUAAGAGAUAUAACUCUUCCCGAGCUUCUUCAAUAUGAUGCUUGACAACAGAAUCACACUUUCCGUCUUGCAGCAGCUCUUUNNNNNNNNNNNNNNNNNNNNNNNNNNNNNNNNNNNNNNNNNNNNNNNNNNNNNNNNNNNNNNNNNNNNNNNNNNNNNNNNNNNNNNNNNNNNNNNNNNNNNNNNNNNNNNNNNNNNNNNNNNNNNNNNNNNNNNNNNNNNNNNNNNNNNNNNNNNNNNNNNNNNNNNNNNNNNNNNNNNNNNNNNNNNNNNNNNNNNNNNNNNNNNNNNNNNNNNNNNNNNNNNNNNNNNNNNNNNNNNNNNNNNNNNNNNNNNNNNNNNNNNNNNNNNNNNNNNNNNNNNNNNNNNNNNNNNNNNNNNNNNNNNNNNNNNNNNNNNNNNNNNNNNNNNNNNNNNNNNNNNNNNNNNNNNNNNNNNNNNNNNNNNNNNNNNNNNNNNNNNNNNNNNNNNNNNNNNNNNNNNNNNNNNNNNNNNNNNNNNNNNNNNNNNNNNNNNNNNNNNNNNNNNNNNNNNNNNNNNNNNNNNNNNNNNNNNNNNNNNNNNNNNNNNNNNNNNNNNNNNNNNGCAUUUUCUCAUCAUGAAAAACUUUCUUUGCUAGUGUAGUUUUUCCAAGACCAGGCAUCCCUACGAUAGACACAACAUCCAAGUUCUUUGGUCCUAUAGUGAGCUGUUCGAUUAGCAAGUCAGUCUCAUCCUUAAAACCCACCAUUACCUCAUCAAGUUGUGUAGUCUCAACUACUUGUCUGACAGGAUUUGGUGUUUGUUCUUCAAUAGGGCCUUCAACUUCUUGCGUAAUCGUAGCAUGGAACUCUUUCAAAUGAUCCCUUACAACCUUAGUUUCUGUUGUGAUCUUACAUAACAAAUGUAGAUACCAAACAGGAUAAUCUCCGGUAACCAGGCAAUCAAUUAUGCAUUCUGCCUGGUAUGCUAGAGAUAUGACUUCUGUCCAUAGAUCAUGUUUCUUCACCUCCUCAAACUCAUGUUUUUUCUUCUCAACUUCCUUCAAGAAGUAUCUUAAGAGAUAUAACUCUUCCCGAGCUUCUUCAAUAUGAUGCUUGACAACAGAAUCACACUUUCCGUCUUGCAGCAGCUCUUUUAGAUAGCGUAAGAGGGAAUCGAUGAACCCCAAUCCAUUUGUCCUAGGAAAAUUACAUUUUGAUGACACUACAUCUUUCAAAAUCACAUCUUUUAGAUCUUCCAUGACAUGCUCAAUCUUUUUUAACAAGUCACUGAAUACCGAGUUAACUUCUGCUGCUUUGUCAACGGAGAAAGAGAAAGCAGCAGAUACUACCUCAGCAAUCAGACCUUCAAUGCAAGUAAGUUUGUCACUCAUUUUUUCCUGGAUAACAUAUAAAUCUUCAGGUGGAGAAAUGAGCAAAGUUAUCAAUUGCUUUGAUGCUUCGGCAAGGCUUUUGAUUUGAUCCUUUUUAAGAGGAAGCAUCAAAGAACAUGCCUCACCGUCUGAUAACUCCAACAAAUCCUUGAAGAUGAAAUGAACAAAACCUUCAACAAAUUCUAUCACAUCCCGGCUGUAUUGGAUUUGCAAUUUAACUGAACCUCUUAGAGCUCCAGUAUAGAUUUCUGCAACGUCCGGAUCAAUGGGCUUGAUAUCUUUCAAAACAUGAGAGAUUUGUAGUGUCAACACAGAUGCUGAAUCUCCAUCCAUUUCUUCCACAUAACAAAGGUAACAUAUGUAUGCAGCAUUCACUGUGAUGCCCUCUAUAUGAUUAAAAAGAAUGUUGGAUUUCUCUAGCUCCAUGCUUGCAUCUUUUAUGAAAUUGAGGAAGGUUUUUAGAUAUUUUAGACUUUCUUCAAGGACUUGAAACUCUUUCUUCAGAAGUACAAACUUGUCGAAAUCUUUCUUGUUGAUGAGAAGAUCCUUCACAUUCUGAAGGAUGUGCUCAAUGAAUUUCUGAAACACUGGGCUGCAUAAAUUUGGUAAAGGCCACCUCCCUGGAACCAAUGAAAGGAGAAACUCAUAACCUUCUUUGACUUCAGCAGAAGAUAAGUCUGCCCUUGGUCCCGAGACAGUGUCACCGACUUGCAUUCCAUGUCCGCGCAAUCUCCCCUCCUUAAUCCUUCCUUUUUGAGUUGCCCAAAACAAAAAAGUACCAAGAAAUCUCCUCUCUAUUUCAGACAUUUGUUUUCCAGCAGAAUUUCCUCAGAGUGGAUAUAUGUCGACAGCUCUGCAAGCAAAGAGAUUAAAAGCAAAUCACAUUCUAGGACAAACAAGAAAUUAACACAAAAUUCCUUUAUAUGUUGAUUGCACUCUUCCUCUUGUAUCAGAACAUUAUGCUUGAUUGUAACUAACAAACAGAUAAUAUUUAAGAAAAAGAUGUGUGUGAUCACAAAUAACAAAAACUGUUUGGUUGCACUAAAUGUUUUCUGGAAAAUGUGAAGUUAUAUCUGAAAGUCACAAUGCAUACUCUUAACUCUACACAACUAGGGGAAUGGGGAAAAAAGUCACCAGGAAAAACAAUAACAGAAAAAGAACUGGUUCCAAAGAGUUCUGAUUGUCUACUACUUACUUUUGCCUAAACUAGUUACCCUUUGUUAAUCCAAGCAAGUGAAAUUGUACUGAUACUAGGGUCAACCUUCAAUAUUUCCUAGCGAAUUGUCACGAUUUGUUUUUUUGAUGCUCAGGACAAAAUAAUGACUUCAUAUAUCAAUGCUACUUAUGUGAUUUUGAUUGUCAGGAAGUUUGCUUCAAAAUAGUUAUUACUAUAUAAAUAUUGUCUUUUUGUUUUUCUUAUUUACUAUUUCUUAAUAUUUUCAGUAUUUUAGACGAAGAAAGGUUCAUAUGACUUGUAAUAACGCUAGUUGUAAGUUUGUAUUAGUUUAAUACUUAUUAUUUAUUUAAUAGCUAAUUUUUAUGCUAUAAAUAUUUUUAUUAAUGCAAAUCUCUCUCUCUCUCUCUAAAUAUAUAUAUAUAUAUAUAUUUGGGUAGAUAUUUGUAUUUAAAUUAAUGUAUUAUAUAUGUCACGACUCACAAAUGUAUUAUCAAGUUAACAAAAUCUUCUAACUUCAAUAUAUAUUAUUUUAAAAUGUUCCGAGUUCUUUUUUUAAAAAAAAAAACUCACAACAAAUGUGAAAAUAUGUGAACAUAUAUGAAUCAUUUAAAAUUUAUCAUUUACAAAGUACAUUUUUUAUUCAGUAAUAUGGAAUAAACAUUUUCAUUUUUCCCUACACUAAAUUAAAAUCUAAUAACUAUAAAAAAAUAGUAACAUUAAUUAAAAUCCUAUUUAUUUAUGUAAGUAUAUAAUCUAUUAGAAAUUCAGCUAUUGCACAUUAAUUCUUUAGUUAUAACAUUAUAAAUUCUCUUCGUUAUUACCAAUUAUUGCAAACGUUAUUCACACUCUUUUACAUUCUUUAGUUAUAGUAUUGUGAAUUCUCAUAGUUAUUACAUUAAUUAUUUCUAUCUUUCAUCUUUCCUUAUAUUAACUGUUGACCAAUAAUUUUUUAUAUUAUUAUACAACCCCUAUAUAUGUGAUAACACGGUGUUAUUUUUCCUUGGAUGAAUUAUGCUUAGUUGAAUAAAUUGAAAAUCGUUUACAAGUAUAUGAACUAUAUCUUUGUUGGGUGUAAGAUAAACAUGUGAUUAUAUAUAUGAUUUCACAGAUAGAAUAUAUUCUUUAAUUUUAAUUUUUAGUUUUACCGGUAAAAAAAAGGAAACUUUUCUCAGUUAACUAUGGACAGUCAGAUAACUAUCUUUGAUUUAUGUACACAAUCAAUCGAGAAGUCAAAUAUGAGAACCAACAACAAGAACGUCAGCUAUUAUGCUAUAACUUAUAAAAUAAAAAUUAAUAUACAAAAAUAGUUCUAAAAAAUAAAAUUUUGUUGUUUUCUUCACAUGUUCAUAUGACAUCUAAACAGUUUAACAUGGAAUACAUGUGCAAAACACAUCUAGUUUGACAAGAAAAUACACAACAAAUAUCGUUUAUAAGGUAAUAUUAGUGAGAUACGACUAAUUACAUGAUUAAACCUCAUCAAAUUAAAAUAAAUAUAUACAUUAUUGCAUUUAACAAGUUAGUCAGAAAUAGCUCUAAGGUCACGACUCGGUAUCAUAUUAGAUCAUUGACAUCCCACAUUACCUUUUCAUUACUACUAAAUACCAACUGCCUAUAUAGAAAAUUAGUUCACAGCCCUGCUUUUCGCCAACUUCAGAAUUUUGGAAAUAGAAAGGAGAGUUGACCUUACCUUAAUCAACGGAGUAUAUAAUAUUGAUCUUGGAGAAGUGUCUACGAAAUUUACCUUUUCGUAUGGUAGGAAAGAUGGUUUUUCUAUAUAUAUGUUCAUUUUUUCUUACACAACUCCAUAGCAGCCGUUUCUCUCUCUAAUUAGAUCAUUGAAAUAUCUCAUGAUUUACGGAAGAAAGUCCUCAUUUGCUGCUACCAAUUUCACCACUUUGUCAAACAUCAGUUAAUUGGCAAAGAAAAGUCAAAUAAGACAAAGUUAAACAUUAUUCUUGUCAUUGAUUUCACUCAUGAUAUUAUUAGUAUAGAAAGCAGAAUGAGGUAUACCAGUCGUAUAAAAAAAUAGUCUGGUAAGAAAAAUAGAGCGUUAGCGAUCAUCUGUUAUCGGAACUAGCAAUAUGGAUCCUAACUCAUUAGCUCUUAAGCUAGCCAACUUGUAUAGGUGUUUCAGUACUAAUUCCCAUUUGACAGAGAAUUUAAACUUGUUUGUUGAAUUAAUCCAACAUAUUGACGCUGAAGCAAUAGUCCAUUACAUUGAUAUAUUACACCCUAUGUUCCUAAACACGUUGAAUGAUUCCCUGGUUAAUCUAGACGUGAAGAUCACUGCCCUGACGGCGAUGAGUAACUUCAUUCAACGGGUGGGGAGUUCAAAAGAUAGGGAGAGGUUUCAGGAUCUGUUGCCUGCGAUGAUGGACUUGCUGAAUGAGGCAUUGGAUAAAAAAUGUGAGGCAUCAGCGCAGUCUGAGUUCGAGAUUUUGAUCGAGUUGGCCAAGAAUGAGCCUAGCUUCUUCAGGAUGCAGCUUGUGGUUGUGGUGGGCUCCAUGUUUGAUAUAGCUGAAUGUGAGAGUUAUGAAAAGAAAACGAGACAUUUGGCGGUUGAAUUCGUGAUGACUUUGGUUGAGGCCAGGGAGAAGACCCCUGGCAUGAUCAAGAAGUAUCCAUUGUUUACUGAAAAAUAUUUUGCAAUUUUAUUGAAUUUGUUAGAGGAUGAGGUUUAUGACCCUCUCUUGCCUGAUCCUUAUGAUAUAUGGGAUAGAAAUGAUGAUUUCGUUUUUCUUAAGAUGUGUUUACGGCGGUUGUCCAAUGCGCUGGGUGGUAAGACUGUUGGUCCUGUUGCCUUUGAGCAGCUCCGUGCUCACUUGGCUGACGACUCGUGGCAGAAGCCAUGCGCAGCACUCUAUGCACUUGCUCAGAUUGUUGAAGGCUGCUCAGAGGUGUGUAUUUAUUGAUACACUACUAAGAAUUGCAUUUAAACUGAUUAGUUAACGAUCUUGGGAUAGCAGAAGGUCACCUUGAUUAUACUUUCUUCUGUUAUUCUCUAGACUAAGUACUUUGCUUGCUCUCAUCUCUUCUUCAUUAUAAUAGGUGAUGAUUAAGAAUAUGAAUCUAGUGGUGACAAUGGUUCUGGAUUGUAUGGGACAUCCUCAUCCUGGAGUCAGAUUCACCUCCAUGGAAGCAGUUCGCGAGUUUUUGAGUUUCAUGUGUCCCCAUUUUCAAGAACACUAUCAUCAGCAAGUAGUGCCGGCAUUAAUUAAAGCUAUGGAUGAUGACAGUGUACAAGUGCAGGUCUGUUUGUCCUACGAUGAUAUGAAUUCCUUUGGAUGCUAGUAUCAUUUGUCCCAAAUUACAGUUGCAAAAUUUUCUUACUGAACCUUCUCAAUGGCCUUAACUUUAACUUUAUUAGAUAUAAUCCCUGCUCUAACUUUACUAUCUUCAUAUUUUCCUUCACGUUGGCAUGACUGAAUAUUUGACACUUUACAUCCAUGGAUUACACAAUAAAUUGCUUCAACUGUCGUCACAUACUGUUGAGAAGGUACGUAUUGUAGACUAAGUGCAAGAGAAAUCAGAUCAUUUUCUUGAACAAUGAACAGACAAUAUUACGAAUACAUUAAGGGAAACAACCAUAAUUUCCAAGUUCCCAAUAUAAUUAUCCCGCCGUCCUUUAUAAAUUCAAAGUUUGUUACUCCCUUGAAUGUCCUUGAGGUCUUUACUUGCCUGAUAUAUUUUUGUUUUUGACAUGAAAGGUCCAAUUAUCAGCGUCAGCUGCACUCGAACUUUUGGCUAAGCAUUUUAAGGUAUUACCUAGUAAUUCUGCUUCAACUUUUAUUAAGAGUAUGUUGUAUUUAAGCCUGGUUUUUAUAUAUAUAUUAAUAUUAACAUUACUUCAACAGGAGUUCUAUGGGAACAACUACGAAUCUAAUAAACCACUUUGGAAAGCUUCCCUGGUAGAAGCAAAUUUUCCAAGUAAAGAUGUAGAGAUGAUCAUGUCAGUGCACGAACCUGGCAGUUCGGUACUUCCGAAACAGGUCUUCCACCAGUUAUACCAAAUGGAUUCUAUACAUCUCACUCAACUUAGAGCUUAUUGUUUAUUCGUUUUCUAUUUUUCUGUUGUUGACAUAAUGUCACUUUAAGAUUAUGGAAGCAAUUAUGUCAUUACAAGGAUCACAAGAGGAUGAUAAGGAUACAAGUACGAUCUACAAGCUAAAGGUAUGUGUUGUUGAGAAUAUCGUUAACUAAUAAAAUGGUGUUCUCUCUAAUAGCUUAAGCUUUUAGAUGAGAUGGUCACACACUUCANNNNNNNNNNNNNNNNNNNNNNNNNNNNNNNNNNNNNNNNNNNNNNNNNNNNNNNNNNNNNNNNNNNNNNNNNNNNNNNNNNNNNNNNNNNNNNNNNNNNNNNNNNNNNNNNNNNNNNNNNNNNNNNNNNNNNNNNNNNNNNNNNNNNNNNNNNNCAGGCAGAGGCCCUGGGAUCAAAUCUCUUCGCCACCCAAAUUAAAAAGAAUUUCCACGUGCUAAUCAGUCAGAAAUUCUUUCAAGAUUGGUCUUUCUAUAUUUCUUGAUCUCAUUCCAGGUUGUCACACUUGGACUUCUCUCUUUUUCUUUCUUUCUACCCGUGCUUUUGAUCGCGAACUGAAAAUUUAACAAGUGGUUUCAAUGGCCUAAUGCUUGAUAAAUGAUACAGACUGCUUCAAUUUUAUUUCCACUUUUGAAAUUCCAUUUCAAAGAGGUCAGGUUCCAUACAGUUGAAGGUGAGAUUUCUCAGGAUUUCACAUAGUUAAUUUCUCCGUCUUUUAUAACUAUCUGAUCACCGCCAAGACUUUUUAAUUUGUAAUGUUUAUAGCGAUGAAGCACCUUUUGCAAUCUGCUAAACUGGCUGAUGAGAAAGGGAUUGCUCCAGGUGAAAGCCAUUCGGAUUUCAAGCAGUUUUCGGACAGUAUAAUACUGAAUUUGGUGGAAGCUUUGCAUGAGGUUUACUUUUAACAUUAAGCUUCUUCUUUUUGGAUAAUGAGAAAGUAACACUUUGAUUUCUAUAUAAUGCAGGAGCUUGAAACAGAGAUAUAUGCACAUAUGUUGAAUACAUUACGACUGUGCCUUCAGGUUCGUGAUCUUUAAACACUGCUUAUUUGUUUUGAUCCAAAGUUUUCAGUGUUUCACUAUGAGCUAGGUAUGAAGUUUUUGGAACUGUUGCCUUUAAGUCUAUUGCUUAAAAUGUUCCAUUAGUAUCAUCAAAGUGAGAAACUAGCAAUGGUGACAAAAAUCGAGUUAGAAUGGCAAAAUAGGAUUUUUCAGGUUGUAUAUGGUCCUUGUGUUUCUUCUUUCAGAUAUGUGGACCACUUCUCAAUGAAGAUCAGCUUCGUCCAGUCGUGGAUGAGAUAAAGCAUGUCAUUACAGAAAAUUUAAAUAGCCAAGGAAAACUCACAGAGAGAGAAAAAACAGAAGACUUCGAUGCUGAGGAAGCUGAAUUGCUGAGAGGGGAAAAACAUCAACAAGAUCAAAUAUUUAAACUUGUAUGUUCUAUAUUAAAACAGGAACUAAAGUGAUACACUGUUGUCUUUAUAUAUUCAAGCAUUUUCGCUUUGGUUCUGCUGUUAUUCUUGAACAGGCUGGUGGCAUAUUAGGUAGACUAAUCGAAUCAUUCAAGGUUGUUUUCUUGCCUUACUUUGACGAGCUAUCAUUAUAUCUGAUUCCGAUGUGGGUAAGUUCAUUGACACUAUUGUAACAUGACGUUAGUUUAUCAUUAUUCAUAUCUAGCAUAUCUUAUUGUUUCCGAUUUUUGUUAAGGACAAAGAAAUGACAAGUCUAGAGAGAUGUACAUCACUUUAUAUCUUUGGUGGUCUUGUGAAGCAUUGCUCUGAAGCAGCUCUAAAGUGAGUUUAAUUUAUCUGUAUGAGUUUUUCUUAAAUUAUUGGGGUGUCACCAUUUUGAUAAAUCACUUACUUCCUAUGCCAACUAGGUACUGUAAUGAAUUUCUACCUUUGCUUCUGAAAUCAAGCAAUGACGAAAACCCAGCAGUUAGACAGGUUUGGAUCAUCGUGAUUGCUUACAUUCCUGUUACUCAAGUUGGUUGCUCACAGUAUGGUUUAACCAAAACACCAAUGACUUCAUGUUCAGAAUGCUCUACAUGGACUUGGGUUUUAUGCAGAAUAUCAUGGUUCUGUUUUCAAACCUUUUGUUAGAGGUAUUAAUAUUGUUGAAUGUGAUACUUCUAAUCAAGCAAGUGUUUUUGUUAACUUACGCGUUUAUGUUCAGAGGCUAUGUCACGGAUCAAUGUAGUGAUAAUGCAUUUACGUGCUCGUGAACCUGAGAAUGAACUUGCAUAUGAUAGUGCUGUUUUUACCCUUGGUAAAAUAUUUCAGUUUCAUCGAGAACUUAUCGACUCAGCCCAGGUUUGUCCUUCUCAGAAUCCCUAAUGUUAAGUCUUGUUAUAAUUUCUGAUUCUGAAUCCUUGUGUAGGUCAUUCCCAUUUGGUUGAAUUGCCUGCC